Molecule: long non-coding RNA, 428 nt
Organism: Amblyraja radiata (thorny skate)
Lineage: Eukaryota; Metazoa; Chordata; Chondrichthyes; Rajiformes; Rajidae
Exons: 3
Source: RefSeq, a predicted model, not a curated record
UCGUUGCUUUCGUCCGUCUGUCCGCUAGUUCGCUCUCCCUUGGAUUAAGUAGCGCAGGAUAAAGCUGCAAAUUCACGCACCGGAUGGAAACUAGGGGAACGCCGCCCCCCCCCCCCUGCGUACCAUCACUGACUUUGCAGGUCGAGAAGCAUCUGUGCAUAGAAACAGAAAUCAGAAGCUAAGAAUUUGGCACAUACUGAGCCAAAUUGAUCCAGCUGACAGUCAAAUGUUCAAUGUGGCAAAGAACUAAGAGGGAGACUGAUGCACCACAUCCAAACCCUUAGCUUGAUGGCAAGAAGGACUGGCCUUCGACCAACAACCACCCUACUUGCUGACCUUGUGGAAAUUCAUGUCUAGAUUGGUGCUCAACUGCUGACAACGUUCUACCGCUGCACCACAGAGAGCAUAUUAACGUAUGGCAUCUCUGU